GACGAACGCUGGCGGCGUGCCUAAUACAUGCAAGUAGAACGCUGAAGGAGGAGCUUGCUUCUCUGGAUGAGUUGCGAACGGGUGAGUAACGCGUAGGUAACCUGCCUGGUAGCGGGGGAUAACUAUUGGAAACGAUAGCUAAUACCGCAUAAGAGUAGAUGUCGCAUGACAUUUGCUUAAAAGGUGCAAUUGCAUCACUACCAGAUGGACCUGCGUUGUAUUAGCUAGUUGGUGAGGUAACGGCUCACCAAGGCAACGAUACAUAGCCGACCUGAGAGGGUGAUCGGCCACACUGGGACUGAGACACGGCCCAGACUCCUACGGGAGGCAGCAGUAGGGAAUCUUCGGCAAUGGACGGAAGUCUGACCAAGCAACGCCGCGUGAGUGAAGAAGGUUUUCGGAUCGUAAAGCUCUGUUGUAAGAGAAGAACGAGUGUGAGAGUGGAAAGUUCACACUGUGACGGUAUCUUACCAGAAAGGGACGGCUAACUACGUG
This 495-nucleotide ribosomal RNA is filed under the name uncultured bacterium. RNAcentral describes it as "partial 16S ribosomal RNA". It matches the Rfam family "Bacterial small subunit ribosomal RNA", at positions 28 to 507 of the family's 1533-position model. The record is from RNAcentral.